UGUUACAAUGGCAGGUACAGAGGGAUGCUACCGGGCGACCGGAUGCGGAUCUCGAAAGCCUGUCCCAGUUCGGACUGGAGUCUGCAACCCGACUCCACGAAGUUGGAUUCGCUAGUAAUCGCGCAUCAGCCAUGGCGCGGUGAAUACGUUCCCGGGCCUUGUACACACCGCCCGUCAAGCCAUGGGAGCCGGGGGGCGCCUGAAGUCCGGGACCGCGAGGACCGGCCUAGGGCGAAACUGGUAACUGGGGCUAAGUCGUAACAAGGUAUC
RNAcentral lists this ribosomal RNA (270 nucleotides) under uncultured bacterium. RNAcentral's name for it is "partial 16S ribosomal RNA". It matches the Rfam family "Bacterial small subunit ribosomal RNA", at positions 1223 to 1500 of the family's 1533-position model. The record is from RNAcentral.